UGCCAAUCCUGCUUUUUUUAA
Molecule: non-coding RNA, 21 nt
Filed under: Caenorhabditis elegans
Lineage: Eukaryota; Metazoa; Nematoda; Chromadorea; Rhabditida; Rhabditidae
Source: RNAcentral